UACGGGGGGGGCAGGCGUUGUUCGGAAUUACUGGGCGUAAAGGGCGCGUAGGCGGUCUUGCAAGUCCUGUGUGAAAUCCCUCGGCUCAACUGAGGAACUGCACAGGAAACUGCUUGGCUUGAGUUCGGGAGAGGGAAGCGGAAUUCCGGGUGUAGCGGUGAAAUGCGUAGAUAUCCGGAGGAACACCGGUGGCGAAGGCGGCUUCCUGGACCGACACUGACGCUGAGGCGCGAAAGCGUGGGGAGCAAACAGG
This 253-nucleotide ribosomal RNA is filed under the name uncultured bacterium. RNAcentral describes it as "partial 16S ribosomal RNA". It matches the Rfam family "Bacterial small subunit ribosomal RNA", at positions 524 to 776 of the family's 1533-position model. The record is from RNAcentral.